Molecule: long non-coding RNA, 1342 nt
Filed under: Androctonus crassicauda
Lineage: Eukaryota; Metazoa; Arthropoda; Arachnida; Scorpiones; Buthidae
Source: RNAcentral
UCGAAUUAAUCAGUUAAAUAUGAGUUUUUUAAUCUUUAAACAUUAAAUCUCUUCGCAGUGAUAAUCAUCCAUAUGAGGUAUAUAUUUUAUAUAGCCAUCACCCAUGUUCUACAAAACUGAAUGAAAUAUAUACUUCAUAUGACAGUGCUUGCGAAAUAUAUGCUACAUGCAUUAUAUGGAACUGCUAUGCAAAUAGACACUACAUAUGAAUCCACUUUAGUAGAUCCCCUCAAAAAGAGAGGAUUGUUGUGGGAAUAGGGAAUUCGGACCUGCUGUGAAGUGUCGCUUUACACCUCGUCGUAAUUCAUCCCGGAGUGAUAUCUUGGAGUAUUUGAACAACCACUUUGUUUACCAUUCCAGAUGGCUAGAUGUUCUCAUCUUCCACAAUAGAAGAAGAAACAAUAAACAGUUAAAAAAUUACGAUGACGUAAAGAAUCGAGAGACACGCAGAUGGCGCGAUGAAGAGAGAAAAGGAAUGUGACCGAGGAAAGAACGGGGUGAAUGUCUUCCUCCUGGGAGAAAAAGUUCUUGGAAAAGGGAUGAAGGGGCAAAAAUUAGAGAGUCGGUCGUCAAACUCCGCGAGAGAGAGAAGGACAGUCAGAGUCGUCGGUUCUACCUAUUCCUUCUGGGCGGACGUCCUUUUUGUUCAACUUCCAAUCCUUCUACGAUUAGUUCAUAUGAUCCGGAAUCGUCCUGACCUUCAAGAAGCUACGACACGAUAGUAUAUUCUCCGUAUUUAUUUAUCUUCUGUGUUAACGGAUUAAAGACUGUGUUUUUUUUUUGGGACUAAAGACAGUUGUGUGCUGUGCGCUACCUCUAUUGGCUAUUUGAUAGGACGACUAUUGUCGCAUUCUUGUCUUUUACAGGUAUUUAUCCUCCAAAAACACUCUAGAUAAAUACAGUUUACACAAACCAUAAAUCUUUAUGGUUUGUGUAAACUGUAGUUGUCUUUAAUCACUGUGUCAGUAAUUUCGCUACUCAUUCGAUCAUACGCGCCUUUGUUACAAUUAAUCGCUUAGGCAAACGUUUGUAUAGUUCGCCCAGACGACAAUUAUAUGGAACUGUGGUGCGAAAUAGAUACUGCAUGCACUAUAUGGAACUGCUGUACGAAAUAUAUAUAUAGCCUAUGCAUUAUAUGGAACUGCCGUGCGAAAUAUAUAUAUGAAUUAUAUGGAACUGCUGUGCAAACAGAUUGGGGAAAGUGGGGGUAAACCCGGGUAGCUAAUGUUUAUCAAUGUUCUGAUGCUAAGUUAGAUUAUCAAAAUUAACAAAAACCGAAUAUAUAUUGUUGCUUAGACAUUUUAAAAUAUAACGGCACUAUCCAAAACACAUGAUAAUCACU